Molecule: ribosomal RNA, 442 nt
Filed under: uncultured bacterium
Lineage: Bacteria
Description: partial 16S ribosomal RNA
Rfam family: Bacterial small subunit ribosomal RNA
Source: RNAcentral
CUACGGGAUGCAGCAGCUGGGAAUUUUGCGCAAUGGGGGAAACCCUGACGCAGCGACGCCGCGUGGGUGAGGAAGGCCUUCGGGUCGUAAAGCCCUUUCAGCAGGGAAGAAACAAAUGACGGUACCUGCAGAAGAAGCACCUGCUAACUCCGUGCCAGCAGCAGCGGUAAUACGGAGGGUGCAAGCGUUAUUCGGAUUUACUGGGCGUAAAGCGCGCGUAGGCGGUUUGGUCAGUCUGAUGUGAAAGCCCCCGGCUCAAUCGGGGAAGUGCAUUGGAUACUGCCAGACUGGAGUACAGGAGAGGAGAACGGAAUUCCUGGUGUAAAGGUGAAAUUUGUAGAUAUCAGGAGGAACAACAGAGGCGAAGGCGGUUCUCUGGACUGUUACUGACGCUGAGGUGCGAAAGCGUGGGGAGCAAACAGGAUUAGAUACCCCCGUAGUC